GAUGAACGCUAGCGGCAGGCCUAAUACAUGCAAGUCGAACGGUAGAUCGGGUAGCAAUACUUGAUUGAGAGUGACGUAAGGGUGCGUAACACGUAUGCAAUCUACCCUCAACAGGAGUAUAGCUCGGGGAAACUCGGAUUAACACUCCAUAACAUUACGAUGUGGUAUCACAUUGUGAUUAAAACUCCGGUGGUUGAGGAUGAGCAUGCGUCUGAUUAGUUAGUUGGAGGUGUAACGGACCCCCAAGACGAUGAUCAGUAGGGGAACUGAGAGGUUGAUCCCCCACACUGGCACUGAGAUACGGGCCAGACUCCUACGGGAGGCAGCAGUAGGGAAUAUUGGUCAAUGGGUGAGAGCCUGAACCAGCCAUGCCGCGUGCAGGAAGACGGCCUUCUGGGUUGUAAACUGCUUUUAUCUGGGGAUAAAAAGCCCAUGCGUGGGACAUUGAAGGUACCAGAUGAAUAAGCACCGGCUAACU
RNAcentral lists this ribosomal RNA (478 nucleotides) under uncultured bacterium. Its description in RNAcentral is "bacterial SSU rRNA". It matches the Rfam family "Bacterial small subunit ribosomal RNA", at positions 28 to 502 of the family's 1533-position model. The record is from RNAcentral.